RNAcentral lists this unclassified non-coding RNA (315 nucleotides) under uncultured fungus. Its description in RNAcentral is "partial contains small subunit ribosomal RNA, internal transcribed spacer 1, and 5.8S ribosomal RNA". The stretch from base 1 to 73 matches the Rfam family "Eukaryotic small subunit ribosomal RNA", at positions 1759 to 1831 of the family's 1831-position model. Lineage: Eukaryota; Fungi. The record is from RNAcentral.
UCAAACUUGGUCAUUUAGAGGAAGUAAAAGUCGUAACAAGGUAACCGUAGGUGAACCUGCGGUUGGAUCAUUAUAAAAUAUAAUGGUUUUCCAGGUUGAGUUUCAAAUCAUUCUUACGAUUUGAAAUUCCUUGGAGAAUUCCAAUCAACCCUAUGUGCACUGUAAAUGUUUUUCGAGCACUUUAUAUUUAUAGAGUGCUCGACCAUAUUUAAAAACCCCAUUUAUUAAUUUGUCUGAAUUUUUUAUUAAAUAAAAAUAAAAAAUACAACUUUUGACAACGGAUCUCUUGGCUCUCGCAUCGAUGAAGAACGCAGC